AAAAGAGUAGGUUGUAGAAGAGGACCGCUUGGAAAAAAAAAACGGAAAAAGGUACAUUGACUAGUGUUGGUUAUAAUUGUUCAUUGACGUUCCGGUGUAAUAUGAAUAUGUACGUAUGCAUUUUUAGUGGUUUUUAGAGGUUUUAAACAAGAUUUCAAUGGGAGAUAAAAUUCUGUCAGGACUGCAUGGAUUCAAUGUUGUAAUUUUAAAUUUUUUUAAAUUU
Molecule: non-coding RNA, 223 nt
Organism: Caenorhabditis elegans
Lineage: Eukaryota; Metazoa; Nematoda; Chromadorea; Rhabditida; Rhabditidae
Source: Ensembl